UGCUCAGAAACACCGUCGUUCUGCAUCUUGCCACCAGAUUGGAGGUCUGUCGUCUCUCUCUGCCGGCUGGUGGAGGUGCCCGCCCUUCCCCUCAUCAUUCUCCUGGUGAAAAACGUAUCCUUUGUGGCAUACAGACCUUGCUGAUAUACAAGUUCAUCCGUGGAGUCGUUAUUUGUAACCGAGCGGCCACCCAGGCAACUAAGAACCGCUGGGCAGUGUAUGGAAAUGUUACCGUCAAGUGAAAACCGCUACCACCACCACCACCACCACCACCACAACAGACAGUAAGCGUUCACGGAUGAAGAUUGGGAUUUGCUCUGCUCCUCCCAAGCCGCUCCCGUGACUCCGGCAGCGAGGCAGAAGAGGACGAGGUGGAGGAGGAAGAGGAAGAAUCAGUGAGGCUCAGCAAGGGGAGUACAUAACACUCAUACAAGAGGAAAUGAGUAUCCCUUCACCCAGACUGAUUGUACUGGACAUAAGUGAAGCUUUCCCAAGAUUCAUGGAAGCAGAGAAGAAACGUGAUGUCAGAUGUACUACCCCCUCCUGGAGCUGCCAAGUUGUCCAUACUUCCUUCCGCUGUGUGUGCUGUUAUGUCUGGUAAACACUUGCCUCAGGACUCUCAGAGCAUUGGUGACAAUACCUGUGACAGUCCAUGACAACAGUGACAUUUGCAAAGUGCAAAGUGAUGCUAGUGUGACAUGCAGAACAGCAAAACAGCCAUGAUGAUGAAAUUGAUCAUCACCACCAGCGAAGUGUCACACCACCAACAGCAGUGCAAGGAGCAAGUGGCUGAGGUGGCAGCUAUGGACACUGACCCACACCACACCCUGAACACCAUGAGUCAAUUAUCUGUGGUAUUAGGACAAAAGUCACCAGCAAAUCACCAAGACCUACCAAGCCACCAAACAGGAAGGAGACAAGAACAAUCCCCAGGAAUGUGCCCAUUACACCAGGGAGCAGAUGAGCCUCAUAUGGGAAGAGAGGUGGCUACAGUGCAUGGCAAGCCUCAGUCACAUUAACAUGAUCCACAUGUGGAAAAGAAUCACAUUAACAUGAUCCACAUGUGGAAAAGAAUCAAUCACGUACAUGGCAAGCACACACGCCCAUUCACCUACCCUAACCCUGCAGGAAAGGCAGGGUAGCUACUGUCAACCUACCCAACCAGCUACAUGAGAAAAAGGCAGCACUGGAAACUGGGCAUGCAGUCAGUGUCACAGCUGCCAGCCUCAAUAUCGAUGACUCAGAUCACGAGAUAACGAGAGAGGAACUACACAGUGCAAGGAGGCUAAGCAAGGACACAGUUCCAGGUGAUGACAGCAUCACAAAUGUGUAAUGUUGUUGGCGACCCACUACUUCAGCUGUUCAACAUGACCUUCACAACCAGGGGACACUGCCGCAGGAAUGGGCAGCAGCUAACAUCGUGCCCAUUCCAAAGCCCCACAAACCUGAUAAACACAUGACAAUCAGCCUCACCCCCACUAUGUGCAAAAUGCUUGAGCAAGAUCCUUCUCAGUCACCUUCUGUACAAGAUAAGCAAGCUUGCUCUGGGGGUGGUUGGAUUCGUCUGGCACAGAAGCACAGCAAAUUGCCUGGCAAACUUUGUGUUCAACGCGACAGCAAAAACGUCAGUCUUCAUUGACAUAGGGAAGGCGUUCGACAAGACACAACCACUUGUCAUACAGCUGACCAAGCUUGGAGUUAAAGGUAAACUUCUCCUGUGGAUACAGCACUACCUCAAUGACAACAGUUAAGCCCGCAUCACGUACAGAGUAACGUGUCAUGUUAAGUUACUACACACUGGAGAACAGGACGCCACAGGGGAAAAUUAAUAAUAAGUCCAAUGCUAUUCAAUGUGUUAAUGAAUGUCAUGGCUAUGCUUCCCUACCCUGAUGGUACUCAACAUAUAGGAUACUCAGAUGAUGAUGUCUUGCAAACCACCAGCAAGGACUCCACCAACACUAUGCAAAUCUCUGGACCUUCUAACAAUUAAAUAAUCGAUAUUGG
This is a long non-coding RNA of Scylla paramamosain (green mud crab), 2004 nucleotides long. RefSeq lists it as uncharacterized. The record is from RefSeq and is a predicted model, not a curated record. The transcript has 4 exons. NCBI's taxonomy places the organism in Eukaryota, Metazoa, Arthropoda, Malacostraca, Decapoda, Portunidae.